CGGUUCUCAAAAAUGGGCGUC
This 21-nucleotide non-coding RNA is filed under the name Arabidopsis thaliana (thale cress). The record is from RNAcentral. Lineage: Eukaryota; Viridiplantae; Streptophyta; Magnoliopsida; Brassicales; Brassicaceae.